CACGUAGGGCGCAAGCGUUGUCCGGAAUUAUUGGGCGUAAAGAGCUCGUAGGCGGUCUGUUGCGUCCGCUGUGAAAACUCGGGGCUUAACCCCGAGCCUGCAGUGGAUACGGGCAGACUAGAGGUAGGUAGGGGAGAAUGGAAUUCCCGGUGUAGCGGUGAAAUGCGCAGAUAUCAGGAGGAACACCGGUGGCGAAGGCGGAUCUCUGGGCCGAUACUGACGCUGAGGAGCGAAAGCGUGGGGAGCGAACAGG
Molecule: ribosomal RNA, 253 nt
Filed under: uncultured bacterium
Lineage: Bacteria
Description: partial 16S ribosomal RNA
Rfam family: Bacterial small subunit ribosomal RNA
Source: RNAcentral